AGGCUGGAGUAGACAGGAACCACGAGAGGCAGGGAGGACUGUACAGGGGUUGCUGACCAGGUGGAAGAUGAUGGGAGCCUCAGAAGGUGUCGUGGGACAGGGUCAGGGAGAGGGCUCUAUGCGGCCAGGAUCUGGAUGCAGAUUGUUGAGACUGAAAUUUGGCUCAGAUCCCUUCUAGUUGUGUCUGUUUAUCUUCAGUUUCCUUGUCUAUAAAAUGGGGAGAGAUUGUGUGUCCCCGGCAUCACUGGACUGUUAAUAGCUAUUGCAUUUAUAGCAUUUAUCCCAGAACCUGAAACACAGUAAAUGCUCAGUAAGUGUUAUUAUUUGCCCCAAACUGUCUUAGUGCUUUCCCCAAGAGCUUUGUGUUGUUUGUACUAUGAGGAAUAAUGAGGGUGGUGUGGGAGUCGGCCUCUGUGUCUGCAGAGAGGACCACAGGCCACAGGAAUAGAGACAGGUAGAUAGGAUCAAGGUGACAGGAACAGAUGUUCAGAGCAAGAGAUGAAGACGGCAUCAUCAACCCAGACAAGCCAGUGCUUUCUGAGAAGCCCUCCAGAACCGCAGCAUUGGAAGCUUCAAGAUUUAGUCAUUCUUCUGGCAAACAUAUGUGGAAGGCCUCCGGGGUAGCACACCCUUCACCGUGCCCUGGAGAUGCUGGGAUGCGACAAAAAAGUAGGCUUCUCCCAUGAUGAACCUCACGGUUGGAGGCAUCUGUCCACCCAUGUGGUUCCAGACACGUUCAUGUGGCCACCAUGACCCCGUCGGCAUCACAGGGGUAACCAAGAGAGCAGCAAGUUCCUGGGACAGAGGAGACAGAAGGGAAUUUCCAGGUUCUUCAGGACGUUCACAACCACACUGAGAAGCAUCUUUGCAGAUAAGUAUUUAAACUUACCAGCCCAUAGCCUACCAGCCUGCCCUCUUCUGGUCUGUGCAGGAAAGUGUAGUAUCCUAGAAUGCCAAAGUGGGAGGGGAAAUGGGUGAUGUAGCUCAUUCUCUUUUCUACCUCUAUGGAAGAAAGAAAGAGCCUGUCCCCAUUUUGUGGGGUCCCAGAAAGGGUGAUUUUCACACUUCACAUUUGGCGUUAGGGCUAGUAUUUCACAAACAUUACCGUCUGGAACUUUUGAAGGCUGAGUUAAAUGACUUCAUCUUGUGUACUUGUAGAACUGCUAUUAGAAGGAGGCUGGGGACUCCCUGAUGAUGUGAACCAGCCCUUCUCUUCUCAGUUUCAGCACUUUGUGAUCAUAUUUAUAAACCUUGGACAGGGCUCCUUGGCCUUAGAGUUAAGUGAAGAGUUAACACUGUGACUUUAGAUGCAUUUUUCUCAGUGUAAGUGUCUGAGCUCAUCUCCAGUUCUGGACUCGUGCCCCCACUCCCGGGUGCUGACAGCAAGCUCUGAAGAUAUGCUGAGAGAGCUCCCUGACUCUCCUGACUCAGGUCUGCCAGUUGAUGAAGACAGCACAGUUGUUACCAAAAACAAAACCUGGCAGAUGGUCCUAGGUCAGGAUUAGUGGUCAUUCUCUGGUCUUCUCCAGACUGGUGACACAGGGUGGUCUUAAAAGAGUCCUAGUCCAGCCUCUGGCUCCCCGAAUUUCCUCUGGUGCAUGGGGCAUCAGGAAAGGGCAGGGGAGAAGGAGGGGGAGCAGAAAAAUAACUGAGGCUGGGCAGAAGGGUCCCUUCCAUUUCCCAUCCAUUGCUUCAAACAAUGGGUGAUUACCGUGCACCUUGAGUGAAUGUCAAGGCAGGAAGGGUUCCAGGGCCACCCAGUGUGGCAGGAGCAGAGCUGGGAUCAGAAUUCUGGAUUCCUGACUCUCCGUUCAGCUGCUAUUCAGCUAUCACCAAGCUGCUGAGUUUGUCCUACUUUCUCCUGGGUCACAUUCUGCUGUUGUUGGGAAACAGGGAGUGAGUGAAGGGAACCUGGGAACCCUUCUCCCCUCACCUUUUAAGGAUGUUCUGGGGUGGAAUAAAGAGAGGUGGAGGGUGGGGUGCCUGGGCCCAGCCUCCCUGGCUCCUGGUCCUUCUUUCUUCAGCAGGGAGUUCUGGCAAGGCCUGGGCCUGGGGAGGGGGCCUGGGUGCAGUUUUCUCCUGCGGUGUGGUUGGCUCUUUUGUCUUCCAGGAUGGGCCUGUGGGGUCUGUGUGGGGAAGGAAGGAGCUGGGAGCCUGGGCUGCCUGUGUGUCGGCUGGAUGCUGCCAGGUGGCUCCAUCUGGGCCGCAUCUCCAGGACUCCUGGCCUGGACUUCUCUUUGGACCUCGGGUGACCUUGGAUUCUGGCCACAGUGACUUAGCGGUCAGACUCCGGUGGUUUUCUAGCCCGCUGGGUGACUCCCUGAAGAUCUCAUCCUCUUCACACCUGUUGGGAUGGAGCCUCCCAUGGAUAGGAACUCUUCCUGGUUGAUGCUCAGCAGAUGACUGAUCUGGCUCUGGAGGACAGCUCCAGGGGUAUGAGGGAGGCCUGGCAGCCCACUACUCCCUCCUCACCUGCUCGGGCCCUGCCUGCUGGGCCCUAUUGUCUGGGUCUGGGGGCCCUUUCCUGCCCCAUGUGAACUUGAUUCCUCCUCGCGUUUCUGCCGGUGACCAGACAGAGCCUGGCCUGGGCCAAGUCCCCACUGACCACACUUUCCCCAAGGCUGGGUCUCAAAGGACCCUACAGGAUGGGGACAGGAACAAGGAUGGGAGUCGGGGAGGGGCUGUCAGGCAGAGGGCAGAUGCAGCUCCUCGGGUGCCGCUGGCUGGAGUCCUUUGUCUCCAUUUGCUCAGUGCGUAAUUGUCAUUUUGUGGGGGACUUCCUUGGUGGGGCUUUUCCAUGCUUUUCCUCUCCCUGAUGGUUACAAAGAGGAGACAGUCAGGAUCUGGGAGGAGCUGGAGCCUUCCCCCUGUGCUGUUGAACUCUGGGAGGGGCAGCCAGAGGGGCUGAGAGUGCACCAUCCUGAAAAGAGAGGGUCUUUAAGAGAUAAGAUUUAGGCUAGGGAAAUUCACUAGAAAGAGACAGGUGGCCCUGGGUUUUUUUUCCUGCCAUCCAAAGGGAACCAGUCUUACCCAAAGGCUUAAGGGGUCACCUUAGCCCAGUCUCAGGACACUCUUCUCCAAUCAGAUCGCUGCUUCUAGUUGCACUGCUCCUGGAUUCUGUUCUUGGGGAACAGAAGGUGGCAGGACAGGCCCCACAAUCUGCAAUUCCAGCUCCCUCCAGAGGAGACAGUCCCAGCGUUUGCAAGAGAGCAGCUUGUGGCCUCCCUUAGGCAAGUUUAAAAGCCAGAUGUCCUUUUUCCCAGAAUGCGGAGUGGUGUGUACUAUUCAUCAGCUUGGGCUGCCACAGCACCAUGCCAGACUGGAUGGCUUAAACAUCAGGAAUUUAUUUUCUGCCAGUUCUGGAGGCUGGAAAGUCCAGAUCAAGGUGUUAAGACUUGGUUUCUGGUGAGGCCUCUCUCCUUGGCUUGCAGGUGGCACCUUCUCACUAUGUCCUCACAUGGCCUUUUCUCUGUGGAGAGGGACAGAGAGCAUGAGCAGGCUCUGGUGUCUCCUCCUCUUCUUAUAAAGACACUAAUAUCACCAUAUUAGGGCUUAAACCUAUGACCUCAUUUAACCUUAACCCCUUAAAGGUCCCAUCUCCAAAAACAGUCACAUAGCAGGCUACUGCUUCAACAUAUGCAUUUGGGGGAGGGGACACCAUUCAGUUCUUAACAGGGUGGUCACCGCAAACAUGGAAAGUCAGAGCCUUCUCCCCUUCAGAAUUCCCGCCCCCACCCAGGGAUGGGGAGGAGGAGCAGAGAGGUAUGGGAAGCAGACACGGAGAGUGGCAGGUACCAUGCUGGGGUGGCUCAGGAGUGCUUCGGAGGACAUAUGGAACUGGCAGGGCUCAGUGCAGGGAGGCGGAGGCCCUGGGAGAGCCGUGUCCUGAGAAGGGCCUGGGCUACAACCCUGGGCAAGUUACUUCACCUCUGAGCCUCCGAUGCUCUGUGAAAUGGAAGGAAUGUGCUUGCCUGUCAGGUGCAGGGAGAAUUCAGUGAGAUUGUGUGCCUAGCACAGUGCCUGACUCCCAGUAGGUGCUCAGCAAAUGCUCCCAUCCAUCUGGGAGUAUAGACUUAGGGUUUAUCUAUUUUUUUUUUUUUUUGGCUCUCUGGACUUUAAAACUCAGCAUCUUCUGAACCAGAGGCAUUUCUGAUUAGCCCUUCCCUACCUAUUUUCCUAGUAUCACUCUUUAAUCAGCUUGGGGAGGUGGCAGCAUUUCAUGGCCUCCGUAGUAACUCACAAUGCUUCCUGGGGUAUUUAAAUUCUACUCUCUCAUCAGCACUGAGCACCUACUUUGGGCCCUUUCCCGUGCUAGCCAUUUGGGGGAAAUAUAGGUGAAGAGUGGCUGGGGUUUGAACCUUUAGGAUUUCACAGCCAUGCUGGAUGGGAUAAAACCAGCUCACAUGGAGAAUCAGAGAAUGGGACAGUGCCACAAAACAGUCUACUGAGGCACAAGUUCUGAGUGCCUGGGAAGUGGUAGAGAGACCCCAGAGAGGGCUGCUGCAGUCUGGAACAGCUUCCUAGCAAGCUGUACCAAACAGGGCCUUGAAGGAUGAGAAAGAUCUGGCUGAGAUGAUACCCGACCCUCUAGGGAAAUUCUUAAAGUAACUUCUAGGAAAUGUCAUUGCUCCUUAAAAAAAAAAAAAAAAAAAAAAAAGCAGGUUCUAAUUCAAAUUCCGCUGCACUACUGAAGUAGUGCAGGACUUAUCAGAACCUUUAAAAUGCUAAUGGCAAUUUCAAAUACUCAGGGACAGGGCAUAGGAUGAAGUGUUCCUUGACUUUUAUGGCCGUAGAAUCUUUUUCUCAUGGAACAUCGUUUAGAACUGUGGGAGAUGCUAGGCUGGGGUUUCUAUGGGAAAAGUACAGCAGUGAUAGAAGAUGGCAUAAUUAGGGUACACUUAGGUGCUUUGUAGCAUUGGCUGAAAAGGAAGCAGACCGGGUGGGCGUGGGGGAGUCUCAACUUGGUUCCAGGAGCCAGGCCAGCUUGAUGCGUUUUUUUUUUUUCUAAUGGUGGGAGGGCAGGCCAAUAGUUGGAGAAACUAGAGGCCUGACAGUCGGUGAUGGAAGAGAUGUCUACUAAGCACGGUUGUCAGAUCUUUUGCGGAGAGAUGCGGGUGUGCGUGUGUCUGUCAGAGUGUAACAGGAUCCAGCCCUCUGGGAAGGGGCUGACCAGAACCAGGCAGGGGGUUUCUGUCUAGGACAAGUAGGGUCCAUUUUCAGGGGAGCUGAAAUAUUUGCAGGGGGUGCUCUGAGACCCACAGCCAAUAAAUAGGGAAGCAACAUGCUUUUGGGCAGGGUCCAUGUGGUUAGGGUUGAUUUUGAUGGGGCUGGGGGGCUUAGAGUUAGACCCCCUGCCCUGGUCAGGCCCCACUCCCUGGCUGGUGGGGGCGGGAGGCCUCUGAAGCUGCAGCUGGAGGGGCCGGGGCAGUGUUGCAUGGUGUGAUUAACCUACUAACCCAGGGCUCAGCCGGGACGCUGUGGCGUGUGACGAGGUGCCUGGCCUUCUGCCAACCAACUAACCCACUAACCAGGCCCGAGCAUGCCCUACUAACCACCCCCCCGCAGCCAGAUCCUACUAACUGUGCAGCUCAUGGGCCUUUCAAGGGGCUGGGAUAUGGGGGCAGCCAAGGCUCCAGAAGGCUCUGCCUAUGGGCUGGGAUCUUUGUGCAGACCCACGUUCCAGGACAGAGAAUGCAAAUAAGACUCACCAACUCUGCCACUUCCUGUUGAGUGAGUUUGAGUAAGUCACCUCACUUCUCUCAACCUCAGUUUCCUCAGUGGUAGAAUGCGAGUUCUGAUACCUUACAGGUUGCAGUGAGGAUUCCCGUCAAUAUAAGGGUCUCAGCACAUGGCAGACACCUAAAAAAAAAAAAAGUAUGAGGAUGGAGGAAGGCCCCUCAAACCUGGUUGAACACGUCUGCUGCCUAGGCCCUGGCCUCUCUGGGUGUUCUGCACACAGAUCCUUCUGCCUGGGGCAAGACACUUGGCUUUGAAUCCAUGUCACUUCCCCACAUUCUUCCUCCGUCUCAGCUUUCUUUUCUGUAGGCAGCUCUUUUGUUCGAUUACUAACCCGUCUAACCCCUGGGGUGCCUCAACUGCACCCCGAUCAUCCCUUAACAAACUAACGGACCUGCGUGCGUUCUUCCUUUUCUCUUAGCGACUCCUGUGUGUGUCUGCUGAGGUGCCCUGUCCGCUGGUGCUGUGCUCUGACUUACUAACCCAGCCCCUACUAACCCUGUUUUCUCUUCUUACUAACCCCAGCCCUGCCGAGCUCUGGGCUCCCCCCGGGGGCUGGUCCCCCUCCUUUUGGCAAGCAGAUGACCUGGGGCUACUGGCCCUGUAGACAGAUGUCCCACUUUGCUGCCCCAUAUUGGCUGUAAGAUCAGAGUCCACUGGGCCAGGUCUAAGGCAGGGGAUGGCCCUAUUAACAAGACUCAGAGGAGGAAGAGGUGGUCCUGUGGAUGUGGGAGGCUGGACUCUGAGUAUGACAUCUCUCCUAUGUGCAGAAGUCUGGUUGCCACUGGGAGUAGGUGGGACCAGGGAAAUCUCUGGGACGUGAGUGUGGAGGCCUGUUGGUCUAGACUCUAGACUGUGGAGCUCUGAGCUUUUGUGUCCUCUGGAAGGAAGCUGGGGAAGAAUCCUCUCCAUUGUUAAGUGACGGGGAUAGAAGCUGUCCUGCACAGGAAGUCACGAGGGGGGCGUAUCCCACGAGGAAGGCAGGAGGGGGCGUGCCCCUCACCGGAAAUUAGCAGAGGGGCGUGUCCCACACCGGAAGUCAGAAAGCGGAGCCUUUCUUACACCGGAAGUCAAUGAAGCGGGUCUUUCCUACGCUAAAAACCACUGAGUGGAGUAUUUAGUACACAGGAAGUCGGCCAGAGAAACAUUUCUCAUAUUUGAAGGCCGGAAAGAGGGACAUUUCUGACACCGGAAGUCAGUGAGAGGACUCUUUCCCACACAGGAAGUCAGCUAGAGAGCCGUCUCCCCUCUCUGGAGCCGAGAGAGGCCGGUUUCCCCCACCGUAAGUAGACGUGGGGCCGUGACCGGAAGUCCUUGGGAAAGAUCCGUCCCAUUCCCGGAAGCUAGAGGGCGUUAGUUGUCGGGUUGAAAAGGGGUGUGGGGAGGGGAAGCAGCUUUACCCCGGGCUCGGAGUUUGCAGGAGAGAGAAGUGGGGAGCAAGAAGUGAACCUCAGGGGCUCACAGGGUUCCCGCAGAUGCUCAGGCCGGCCAGGAAUGCAUCUCUGGCUCUCUGUUCCCACGGACGUCACUGCCUCAGCCAGCCUCCCCCAGAGCCCGCCAGCCGCUAAGCCGGGGCCACACCUGGGGGUGAUUUCAUGCCUCACCUCCAGUAGGCACCUUGGUUUCUUUGGGCUAAUCUCUGGCUCCCUUGCGCUAACUCUUGCUCUCACCCAGCUAAUCCCUGCCUCACCCUGACUGCCCCAGGGGCUGACCACUAACAACCAACCUGGCCCUGUCUGGGGGUUCCAGGCUCCUGGCCUGGCCCUGACCGGUUCUUAAUUAACCUUUCCUUCACCUUGACUAACUCCUGCCUUCCUGGUCUGUUCCUUUCAGCAGAAACUAAUGGUUUGUGGAUUUUUUUCUGACUAACAACAGGUCUAACAUUCCUCGUUACUGUUAACAGCUUGGAUGUCGGCAUGGCUGGGAAGGGGCUAACACAGCUUUGAACUUGGCUAACACAGGUUUGAACUUGGCUAACACAGGUUUGAACUUGACUAACACAGGGAAAAGCAUAGCUAACAAUUUUGGGCGUGGUGGCUGCUCUGAGUCAGAACAAUCAGAAGUCGGUAAAGAUGGUAGUUUUCUAAAGGAGGUGCCAGGGCUCUGGUGUGGACCAGGCCUGAUGGAGCAGUGGUACCCACCAAGGUGGGGUCAGAAGUAUAGCCAGUCUUGCAAGGUUUUGGCCAUUGGGCAUAUCUUCACUCCUCAUAGUCUGCAUUUGGUUUCAGUUCUUAAAAAAAUAUAGCCUUAUAGCUACAGUAGUUUGCACAAGUAGAUGCAGCUCUUAUAAACCUUAAAAUACCUGUCUGGUGUCUACAGAGCAUAUGCCAUUUUGUAUAGAGUCACCCUUCCCCAGGCCAGGGCCUAGAGUCUUCAUUUUGGGGACUUUGUGUUUUGGAAGUUCUAGGACAUAAAGCUUUAGAUCAGAGUAUUCAGAAGGGUUAUAACUCCGUCAGUCAUUUACAUGUUAGUAGUAUAAAUUAUCUGAGCUUCCUGUUCUAACUUUUAGCUCUUCUAGCAUAAACUCUUCUGUGCAAUUUAGCUGCACCGAGGAAACGGGAGUUUUUCUGGAAGGGACUUUUGAUCUCUUUAGACUGAGGGAACGUCCUUUGGGAGUAGAGGGGCAGGGAGCAUACGCAAGGGAUUCCAGGUGCAGGUAAAAGGUGGCACUAGUUCAAGGUUUUGCUGACUCAGUCUGGUAGUCAGAGUCUGCAGGAGAAGACAGUUCAAGGCAGGGCCUGGAGGAUUGGAUCAGUUUAGGGACAGGUCAAAGGCUGGCUUACAGACCUUAGAGGCAGGUUGCUUGGGUCGUUGAAUGCUAGUCUGGUGCUGAGAGCCCUUUUCUCUGGCAACUGUGGACUCAGAGCUAACCAAUUGUAGUUGGCAGUGGGGGUGAAGGGUGAUCCAGAGGCCUGAGCUGCAGAGGGCACAAGAGAGAAAAGAUGUCUUAGAAAGAGCUUUGAGAACAUGCCUUGGCUGCUGGCAGGGACCUUGGAUGGGGUAGUCUACACCCGGAAGUGCCUGCCUGCCAUCCUCUAGUGGCUGCCUUGCUCCAUUUCACUCAAAGCAGGAAGCUCACACCUCCUAUUCCUGAAACUCCUCUUUGUUUAACUGCAAAGACUUGAUGCUGCUAAGGAUCUACUAUGUGCCAGGCACUGCUCUGGGCGCUGGGACCUGCACCUGGGCUUUUUCGUCAUGGUGCUUUUAUAGCCUAGUGGGAGAGUUGGUGAAGUAGAUAGUGAUUCAGUGAGAUGGGUGUUAUGAUUGGUCAGGGGUCUGUGGGAGCACCAAGGAGACAGACAAGAUUGAUGUGCACCUACUCUGUGCCAGGCGUGUGCCAGGCAUUGGGGAUGUAGUGGUAGUUAAACACCAUUUGGUCUUCAGGAGCUUUAAUUCUAGUGUGUUGGGUGCAGGGGGGUGGAAUGGGGACAGAGAGACACCUAAUCCACCCUGUGGUGGCUUUCUGGAGAGGGAGGCAUCUAAGCUGAGCUGUGGCUGGGUGGAGUGUGGGUGGGGAUGAGUUCCGGGCAGCGAGAGUGGUGGACACCAGUUUCUGGGGAUCAGAGAGGAUCCAAAGAGGUUCUGGAAGGUUCAUGUGGAAUGUAGCAAGAGAUAGGAGACAUGGACAUGGUGCCGGGUCUGGUUGCCAAGAAGUUUAGAUUUUAUCCUUAGGCCUUGGGGAGCGACGGAUAUGAUCUGAGAAAGGGAGUUAGUGGAUUUGAGUUUUAGGCUGGCCAUUUGGCUUUUCCAGCCCAGGUGGAACUCAGAGGAGUUUGCAAUGGCCUCUGGCCACAUUUUAGACAACUGAGCAGAACUUUUUGAAACUAGGAAGACCCUUUGGUCCAUCUUUUGAUAAACAGAAUCCAUACAUGUCUACCCCAGUUGGAAGUAUCUCUGCAAUGACUGGAAAGUAAAGAGGACCAAGGUGAAAAUAAAGGCUCGGAAGGGGAGCAAUCUUGAAAACAUGUCAUCCCAUGGUGGUGGGAAGUCCCUGGAGAAGAUCAGGGGAAACACAGUCAUAGGCUGCAAGUCUAUAAGAUAAUUCCAUUGGGGAGGGAGCCCAUUUGUCAUGCAUGGCUGCAAGGGGCAGAUACAAGUGUGGAGUAAGCUUGCAAGAGCUGAUCCUGGUCCCAGAGAGGGAAAAAUAUGCCUUGGUGGGUAAUGAACCUUUUGUUCCCAGAGGCAGAAGGAUUGGGACUAGGCCAACAUAGAGAUUGGCGAUGGUUGUGAGAUUCUAAGAGUGUGUGUGCAUCUUGACAAUAUUAGAGGAGGCUGAGCCCAAGCAGGCACAUUCUCUUCGACCCCUCCCUCAUUCAGUCUGCUUUGGAGUCUACUGAACAUCAAGCUUGCUAUGAGCAGGAUCUUAGAGCUGAGGAAUUGGCCUCCCAAUCCGAACAGGUGUUAUAAUCCUUUCUUAAUAGGUUGUGCUGUGGACCCAAUGUGAGGGCUGUGCUGGUGUAAAUGGUGACAUGUUGAGCUGGGGGGAUGCUUUCGGGGUGGGGGGACUGGUUCCAUUCCAUCAAAGGCCCUCUUGAGAGUCUAUCCAGGGACCCAUUGUUUUACUUUAACAGACCAGAAAAGAUGUUUGUUUUCCAUGUCAUUACCCCCAGGGGAUACCGAAUGUGUGGGUAGAAAUUUCUCUGUAGAUUAAAAAUCAGAUUUUUACAUGGAUUCAACAAAGGAGCGUCACUUGGAUUUUUGUUUUCAUCCAUGAAUGUAGCUGCUUCUGUGUAAAAUGCCAUUUUGCUAUUAAAAAUCAAUUCACGCUGGAAA
This 10509-nucleotide long non-coding RNA is filed under the name Homo sapiens (human). Its description in RNAcentral is "myocardial infarction associated transcript, transcript variant 10 (MIAT)". The stretch from base 7285 to 7661 matches the Rfam family "Myocardial infarction associated transcript exon 5 conserved region 3". The record is from RNAcentral. Lineage: Eukaryota; Metazoa; Chordata; Mammalia; Primates; Hominidae.